UACGUAGGGGGCAAGCGUUGUCCGGAUUUAUUGGGCGUAAAGAGCGUGUAGGCGGCCAGGUAGGUCUGCUGUGAAAACUCGAGGCUCAACCUCGAGAUGUCGGCGGAAACCAUCUGGCUAGAGUCCGGAAGAGGAGAGUGGAAUUCCUGGUGUAGCGGUGAAAUGCGCAGAUAUCAGGAAGAACACCCGUGGCGAAGGCGGUUCUCUGGUACGUGACUGACGCUGAGACGCGAAAGCGUGGGGAGCGAACAGG
Molecule: ribosomal RNA, 253 nt
Filed under: uncultured bacterium
Lineage: Bacteria
Description: partial 16S ribosomal RNA
Rfam family: Bacterial small subunit ribosomal RNA
Source: RNAcentral